This 242-nucleotide unclassified non-coding RNA is filed under the name Hevea brasiliensis (rubber tree). The record is from RNAcentral. Lineage: Eukaryota; Viridiplantae; Streptophyta; Magnoliopsida; Malpighiales; Euphorbiaceae.
GCUUUGUUUGUAGUUAAUGGACUUAUCUAAUUCUCAGUCCAAUCUUUCUCAUGGACGUGCUUCACCGCCUCACCGCGCUCAGAUUGCUGAUGAUUCUAUAUUGCUUCAUCUCGAUUCUUCUCGACGGGGACCCACGUAUUCGUCCCCCCCAGUUCCUCUUCAGUUGAUGGAACCGCAGACGGAGAAUCAUAAAGACGAGAAUGGAGAUGCGAAGAGAGAUGGAGAUGACUACGACGAUAGAG